Long non-coding RNA from Anolis carolinensis (green anole), 4489 nucleotides. RefSeq lists it as uncharacterized. NCBI's taxonomy places the organism in Eukaryota, Metazoa, Chordata, Lepidosauria, Squamata, Anolidae. The transcript is spliced from 2 exons. The record is from RefSeq and is a predicted model, not a curated record.
GUGUUCACGUUGGUACUUUCAGCGCUAAGCUUAUUGACGGUGCAAAUCAAGGCGGGAGGGAGGGCCAAGAAUGCUGGAGAAAGGGAGGAAUUGCUGUUGCUUAUAGAGCAGAGGUGGCUUGCUUUAGCUGUGUCUGCAUUGUGGAAUUAAUGCAGUUCCAUACCGCUUUAACUGCCAUGGAAUCCUGGGAUUUGGAGCCCUCUUGGACCGAGAAGGCCAGCGAUGGUGUAGAAGUACAGUUGUGGCAAUUAAAGGAGUCACCCUUUCCUUUUUCCCCAUCCAAACAAUUUUUAUUAAAUAUUUCUAAUCUCAGUAAGAUAAAAAAUGAGAAAAUGAAGUUACUGAAUUGAUGGAAACAAAUAAACAGGGAAAACAUCUACCCAGAAAUUAAAGAAGAAAAUGAGAUAAUUGAAGAAACAGUAUGAGAUUGAUAAAGACUUGGUGAAAGACCUUUCACAUCAUAUAAUAGAUGGAAGCCAUAUAUAUAUAUUACUUUUUUUAAAGUAGCGUGUAUAUGUUUUAGAUUAAAAUGGAUGUACUUAUUUUUAUUUUUAUUUUUUUAUCUAUGUAUUUUUCAGAUAGUGAUUUGGAAAAUGUGUUCUGUAAUAAAAAAAACUUUAAAAAUAAUAAAUAAGGUGAAAACUCACACUAAGGGAAUGGGAGUGAGGGGAAAAGAAGAGAAAAAAAACAAUAGGAUAGUAGAGUUAUUGAUUAGUUACACCUUUACAAAUAUCUAAUACUAAUGUAUAGAUUAUCUAAUACAAUGGUUCUCAACCUGUGGGUCCCCAGGAGUUUUGGCCUACAACUACCAGAAAUCCCAGCCAGUUUACCAGCUGUUAGGAUUUCUGGGAGUUGAAGGUCAAAACAUCUGGGGACCCACAGGUUAAGAACUACUGAUCUAAAGAGAAAAGACUACAAAUUUCAUUUAAGCUCUUAAUCAAUUAGUAUUUAUAUAAACAAGCCUUUAUUGUGUGUUAUAUUGUGCUUCCUCUCUUAUUGUACUAUACUAGACUUUCAAAAUCCUGUACAACCAAUCCAUUUUGUAUAAUACAUCCCAAUCUUAUUUAUCGAUGUUAACUUAUCAAUUGUUUAAACAUUCUUGAAAUUUAGGUGGGUGCCUAACAUAAAAUACAAGUACAGUAUAUAUAUAAAAUAAUAUUUGUUUGAUUAAAAGCCAAAUUUCCAUGCCUUGGAUAUUAGAGCCAAACUCUAAUGUAAAUGCAGUGUUUCUGUAGAUGCACUGUUUCUGAUCCCUUUGGGUUUGUGUAUCUAAAGUGCCCAGUGCUUUGGGAUGGUCAGUGCAAAGGAGUAAACAGCAUCCUUAUCUCUGAAACAUGCAACAAAGUGCUCUUUGGUUUCAGUUCCUGUCAGGAGAAACAUUUCCGUUGUUGUUAUGUGGCAUUUGCUUGAUUGUCUUGGGGCUCUUCCAGACAGGCCCUAUAUCUCAGGAUCUGAUUCCAGGUUUUCUGCUUUAAACUGAAUGAUAUGAGUCUGCACUGCCAUAUAAUCUUGGAUAAAAAGAAGACCUGGGAUCAGAUCCUGAGAUAUAGGGCCUGUCUGGAAGGGCUCUAGAUCAGUGUUUCCUGAACUGCAAAUGUUUUGGACUGCAACUCCUAUAAGUCCCAGGUGCCUUGGCCAGUGAUCAGGGAUUCUGGGAGCUGAAGUCCAAACUGCCUGAAAGACCAGAGUUAGGGAGACCUGUGGUCCUCUGGUUGUUUGGGACUCUGACUCCUAAAAGCCUUAGCCAGCUUGUCCUAUAGUCAGGAAUUCUGGGAGCUGAAGUCCAGAACACCUGGAGGGAUACAGGCCUAGUCUAGGUGCAGGUCUAGAACUCAUAGUAAUGCUGGAUUGCUGCCUGUGGAUUGGGUUAACCCCAAUGCAGUGUGUGCUACCUUUCUCUUACUCUGUGCUUGUUUUCCCUAGUGAAUGGCUCAUCUGUUGCAUAAGCAAAAACUUCUCAAACAGUCACCUUCACAUUUGCAGUUCUGACUUUUGCAGAUUUGAUUACUCACAAAUUUGAUUUAAGUGCUCUCUCUCUAGGGAUCUCUAGGUCUUCAGUGUGGUUCUGUGGUCAACCCCCUCCAAUCAUGCUGUAGGAGCUCGAGAUGUCUAGAGCUAACACCUCUCUUGGAGUGGCUAGGUUAGGCCUGUGCAAACUUUGGUCCUUGCAGUGUUUUGGGCUUCAUCUCCCAGAAUCCCACAGUUGGACAAACUGGCUAGGGUUUUGGGGUAUUGGGAGUCCCAAACACCUGGAGGGCCACAGGCCUGCUCCAGGUCCUCAGUAGUAUGCUAUGGACAGCGUAAGUCGACCAUAGGGUCAUUAUGGAAGACCUAGAAAUUGCUAGAGAGAGGUUCUAUCAGGAAAAAAGUAAAAUUGCUUUUUAAAAGUUUUUUUUACAGCUUUCCCCUUUUCAGCUUUGCCCUCUUAGAGCUGGUGGUGCUUUAAGUGGCCAAUACAGAGGGGUAGAGAAAUUCUCUUUUAAACCCAGAGGCAAGGAUGACACUUUCCUCUGGAUCCUGUCAGGAGGAACAAAUACUGUACAUAUAUUUUCUUGAAUAUUACAUGAUAGCAUUGAUCUAGAAUUACUGUUGUCAUCUGUUGUUGGGCCAUAAUGUUGUUUGUCAGUUGAAGCAAGUCUAUGAGUCAGUUUAUUAAUGGAAUAUAAGAUGAGUUUUUUCUAUUUUUAAAAAAUGAAUACCUGCAUGUUUAUCAACAGCUUUGAAAGAGGACACUGACAUGACUGUUUUCUGAAAACUCAAGCACCUGGCAAAAUAAGGGAGAUCCAACCUGUAAAACAUGGAGGAAUUUUCACAACACAAGAUGUAAUGAGUGCUUUGUACAUAACUUGUACCUGAUGUUUCCCCAGUAAGCCCAUCUUCCAUUCCUCACUAUUGUAACUUGACAGGUGAGUUGCCACUGCACACUCCCAUGUGUGUGUCAUGACCCAGGGCAACCAUCCCUUAUCAGUCUAGCUCAGUGGUUCUCAAUCUGUGGGUCCUUGGGUGUUUUGGCCUACACUCCCAGAAAUUCCAGCCAGUUUACCAGCUGUUAGGAUUUCUGGAAGUUGAAGGCCAAAAUAUCUGGGGACCCCUCAAUUUGAGUACCACUGAAGCUGAAAAUUUAAACUAUGGGAAGUUAUUCUUCCUCUCCCCCAGUGUUGAUAUUCCUCAUUAGGAUCCUUGUCAAAUUCAGUUUAAUUUACUUUCCUCUAUAGAGGCAAGAACAAAACAUUUAUAUAUUUUUUUAUAAAUUUUUAUUUAUAAAUUUAUUAAAGAAGAGAUAGAUUUCUUUUACAUAAAAGUGGGGGAACAAUCCAAGUAGAUAGGAAAGUAGGAAAUAUACUAAAAUAAUGAAAAAAGAAAAAAAGAGGAAAACAUUUACAAUUUAUGUAAAAUUUAUAAUUUAACCAUAUCCCAAAACUGCUAAAAGCUAUAAGGUUGCUUCUGCUUGGAUAAAUAGGUAAGAGGUAAAAUAGGCUUCAGAGGCUCUUGGUGGCACAGCGGAUUAAACUGCUGAGCUGCUGAACUUGCUGACUGAAAGGUUGGCGGCUCGAAUCCGGACAGUGGAGUGAGCACCCACUUUUAGCUUCAGCCAACCUAGCAAUUCAAAAACAUGCAAAUGUGAGUAGAUCAAUAGGUACUGCUUCACUGGGAAGGUAACCUCAAUCCAUGUAGUCAUGCCGACCACAUGACCUUGGAGGUGUCUACAGACGCCACCAGCUCUUAGGCUUAGAAAUGAAGGUGAGCACCAACCCCCCAGAGUCUGGCACGACUAGACUUAAUGUCGUGGGGAAACAUUUACCUUUACCUAGAAUAUGCUUCAAACAUUUUAGCUGCAAUUAUAGUGAACCUUUGUAGCAGGUUCAUUUGGGCCUUGCACUAAAAUACUGCUAUCAUUGAAAUAAAGACGUUUCAGGGGCUAUGAUUUGAAGCUGUCCACCCUCAGUAAAGUGCAUUAGGAUUAUAAGAUUGUUCUUGUUCAGAUGUACAACUCUGAAGGCCAAGUUGGUGGUAGUCCUGGAGCAAUUCUGCUUGAAAUGGAGAGCAGCUUUACAGAAGCCCAAGAUUUACUAUUCCUGUGAUAACAGUAGCUGAUUGUUGGGAUCAAGAGAGGUCAAUGUGUAACUCUUGCCGUUGUUCACUUUUCUGAAGGUUAAAUAUUCUCAGCCCACAGAACAUGAGUUUAGAAAACCUAGCUACAAUAUGUUUCCAUGGAAACUACUUUUUAGAUUUCCUUGGGAUUUUGAGCAACAAAGUAAUUUAUCCAAAAUAACUUUCAUUAAAAGCUACUUGUAAGCACAAAGACUUAAAGAUUAUGGGCUUUGUAUGAGAUGUAAACAUUGUUUGAAUUUGAUGUAUCAACUGUGUUGUUUUGCACAAAAUGGGAAGGUGAUGUUGGAGCAUAAUCAAAGGAUGGUACUGAGGCUUUGCUUCAUUUUGUUAGCAUUGAUUUCUAUUUACACAAUAAAAAUUGUGAAUAAAAAACCAA